UGUUCCAGUAGACAAAACGGUAAAGUCACCACUCUUUCAAAGUGGAUAUUUGAGGGCUCAAAUCCCUUCUGGAACGCCAG
RNAcentral lists this transfer RNA (80 nucleotides) under Escherichia phage JLBYU32. RNAcentral's name for it is "tRNA-Glu". It matches the Rfam family "tRNA". From Rfam's summary of the family: Transfer RNA (tRNA) molecules are approximately 80 nucleotides in length. Their secondary structure includes four short double-helical elements and three loops (D, anti-codon, and T loops). Further hydrogen bonds mediate the characteristic L-shaped molecular structure. tRNAs have two regions of fundamental functional importance: the anti-codon, which is responsible for specific mRNA codon recognition, and the 3' end, to which the tRNAs corresponding amino acid is attached (by aminoacyl-tRNA synthetases). tRNAs cope with the degeneracy of the genetic code in two manners: having more than one tRNA (with a specific anti-codon) for a particular amino acid; and 'wobble' base-pairing, i.e. permitting non-standard base-pairing at the 3rd anti-codon position. Lineage: Duplodnaviria; Heunggongvirae; Uroviricota; Caudoviricetes; Andersonviridae. The record is from RNAcentral.